Long non-coding RNA from Anolis carolinensis (green anole), 4479 nucleotides. RefSeq lists it as uncharacterized. The record is from RefSeq and is a predicted model, not a curated record. NCBI's taxonomy places the organism in Eukaryota, Metazoa, Chordata, Lepidosauria, Squamata, Anolidae. The transcript is spliced from 2 exons.
UCCUCAAAUCUUCAUAUUAUGAUAUUAAUAUUAUUAUUAUUAUUAUUAGAUUUCUAAAGUCAGACAAGACCCCCGCCCUCCCCAAGGGAUAUCUAAGCAGGAAGAUAGAAUUACUACGUCAUCGUUAUUAUCAUCACUGGGACCACCACCACCACCACCACCAUCAUCAUUAUUAUUAUAUGUAUUUAUAUCUUGCUUUUUCUCUCUCGGAGCGGCGUAACAUAAAAGCAUCAGCCUACAGUUCAAAAUACAGCAAUAUGCAAACGUGAAAACGGGAAUACAUGUAAACAAUCCCAGUUAGAAACCAUUAAGAGAGAAUCAAAGCUCGAAACCACAGCUUCCUUCCUUCUUCUCGCCCUUGUUGCCACUCGAGGCCUGGAAGCUUCUCUCAAGGAACAACAACAACUCCUCGGCUGUCCUGCCCGGAAUGACAAGUGGCUGCCUUUCAUUCCUUCCUUCUUUCUUUCUUUCUUUCUCGUCCAGUUAAUUAGCCAAAGAGCGGCUCCGAGCCAAAAAAGCUCCUCCGGCCAAGGCUCGGCUCCUCCUCCUCUUCCCUCAAAGCCACUCGCUCACAUUUCCCAAAAGGGAACAAGACGGGAGACCACUCAACCUCCGUUGCGGGAAACGAAGAUUUGAAGAUCGGAGUGCAAAGACUCCAGCACUAGCCCGGUCAAGGGGGUCCCGGUGGUGACAGGUGCACUGGACUCAGUGCUUAAAGACCUCGCCCAGCACUUGAAAACAUGACUUCAUUAUAUGUCGAGCGAGAUAUAUUAAGUUUAGGGAGGUACUUAUAUUUUUUUUGCAAGCAAGAGUCCAAAACCAGCUGACGGAAACCCUCAGAGACACUCGCAGGGACGCCGCAGCAAGCAAGAGUCCAAAACUGGCUGACAAAAACCCGCAGAGACACCACAGCAAGCAAGAGUCCAAAACCAGCUGACCAAAACCCCCAGGGACACUCACAGGGAUGCCGCAGCAAGCAAGAGUCCAAAACCGGCUGACGGAAACCCACAGAGACACUCGCAGGGAUGCUGCAGCAAGCAAGAGCCCAAAACCAGCUGACAAAAACCCGCAGAGACACUCACACGAAUGACGCAGCAAGCAAGAGUCCAAAACUGGCUGACAAAAACCCGCAGAGACACUCGCAGGGAUGCCGCAGCAAGCAAGAGUCCAAAACCGGCUGACGAAAACCCGCAGAGACACCGCAGCAAGCAAGAGUCCAAAACCGGCUGACAAAACCCACAGAGACACUCGCAGGGUCGCUGCAGCAAGCAAGAGUCCAAAACCGGCUGACAAAAACCCGCAGAGACACCGCAGCAAGCAAGAGUCCAAAACCGGCUGAUGGAAACCCAGAACCUCAAUCAGUGGCUGACACCAGAUGAGCGAAUCCGACAACGGAGGGCCUUUUCACAGCGACACCAAAUGGCCCAAGGAAAUCUAAUAUAAUGCCAAGUUUUUAACUUUGUUUGUGUUCGUAAAUACCUUAUAAGUGUGCCCUCGAUUCGCUCCCGAAUUAACCGCCGAGUUCAUCCCGAAAGCAGCUGCAGUGACCCCAGAGGCCGCCCUGGUUAUUUUUUUUUCUGGGUCAGCGCAAGACGGCAAACGGCUCUGACCGGAUUCUCGUUUGUUCAGAUGCUCUUUUGUUUACAGAUCCCCGAGGCCUGUGCCAACGCCUCGAACCCGCAACUGUGGUUCGGGGAAAAGGAGCCGCGGUUGGUUUCCCUCCCGGAAGGGAUUUGGGAAAAAGAAGAAGCCGUCAAAACGGAACGAGCGAGAGGCGGGAACAGGAAAAGGCCGUUCUCCCCUCGGCGAGGACGACAACAACGAUGCCAACGAGUGACAACGGCGGCGGCAAAGCCUCGUGUGGAUGGAGCGAGUGACUCAUGUUGGGCGCCCGAAUUGGGCAACUUGGACGGAGAAGCGUUCCAAAACCAACAGUGAGUGACACGUUUCAAUACUGUCACCAGAGCGGAACGACUUCCGAGUUGGUCGACCGAUCCGAAGUUUUCCUUCUGGACCUGACAGCCCAGAAAACACACAGCAACCCUUUGCCUUCUGGGCCUGGUGUUUCGCCAAAAUUCACCUUCUGGACCUGGUGUUUUCCCCAAGUUUGUUGUGAGUUAUAUCUCACAACCUCUGGGGAUGCCUGCCACAGAUGUGGGUGAAACGUCAGGAGAGAAUACUCCCAGAACAUGGCCAUACAGCCCGGAAAACACACAGCAACCCUUUGCCUUCUGGGCCUGGUGUUUCGCCAAAAUUCACCUUCUGGGCCUGGUGUUUCGCCAAAGUUUAUGUUCUAGACCUGGUGUUUUCCCCACAUUUGUUGUGAGUUAUAUCUCACAACCUCUGGGGAUGCCUGCCACACGUGUGGGUGAAACGUCAGGAGAGAAUACUCCCAGAACAUGGCCAUACAGCCCGGAAAACACACAACAACCCUUUGCCUUCUGGGCCUGGUGUUCCCCCAAAAUUCACCUUCUGGACUUGGUGUUUUUCCCUAGUUUGUUGUGAGUUAUAUCUCACAACUUCUGGGGAUGCCUGCCACGGAUGUGGGUGAAACGUCAGGAGAGAAUACUCCCAGAACAUGGCCAUACAGCCCAGAAAACACACAGCAACCCUUUGCCUUCUGGGCCUGGUGUUUCGCCAAAGUUUACGUUCUGGACCUGGUGUUUUCCCCAAGUUUGUUGUGAGUUAUCCCUCACAACCUCUGGGGAUGCCUGCCACAGAUGUGGGUGAAACAUCAGGAGAGAAUACUCCCAGAACAUGGCCAUACAGCCCGGAAAACACACAACAACCUUUUGCCUUCUGGGCCUGGUGUUUUCCCCAAGUUUGUUGUGAGUUAUCCCUCACAACCUCUGGGGAUGCCUGCCACAGAUGUGGGUGAAACAUCAGGAGAGAAUACUCCCAGAACAUGGCCAUACAGCCCGGAAAACACACAACAACCCUUUGCCUUCUGGGCCUGGUGUUUCGCCAAAGUUUACGUUCUGGACCUGGUGUUUUCCCCAAGUUUGUUGUGAGUUAUCCCUCACAACCUCUGGGGAUGCCUGCCACAGAUGUGGGUGAAACAUCAGGAGAGAAUACUCCCAGAACAUGGCCAUACAGCCCGGAAAACACACAACAACCUUUUGCCUUCUGGGCCUGGUGUUUUCCCCAAGUUUGUUGUGAGUUAUCCCUCACAACCUCUGGGGAUGCCUGCCACAGAUGUGGGUGAAACAUCAGGAGAGAAUACUCCCAGAACAUGGCCAUACAGCCCGGAAAACACACAACAACCUUUUGCCUUCUGGGCCUGGUGUUUUCCCCAAGUUUGUUGUGAGUUAUCCCUCACAACCUCUGGGGAUGCCUGCCACAGAUGUGGGUGAAACAUCAGGAGAGAAUACUCCCAGAACAUGGCCAUACAGCCCGGAAAACACACAACAACCCUUUGCCUUCUGGGCCUGGUGUUUCGCCAAAGUUUACGUUCUGGACCUGGUGUUUUCCCCAAGUUUGUUGUGAGUUAUCCCUCACAACCUCUGGGGAUGCCUGCCACAGAUGUGGGUGAAACAUCAGGAGAGAAUACUCCCAGAACAUGGCCAUACAGCCCGGAAAACACACAACAACCUUUUGCCUUCUGGGCCUGGUGUUUUCCCCAAGUUUGUUGUGAGUUAUCCCUCACAACCUCUGGGGAUGCCUGCCACAGAUGUGGGUGAAACAUCAGGAGAGAAUACUCCCAGAACAUGGCCAUACAGCCCGGAAAACACACAACAACCUUUUGCCUUCUGGGCCUGGUGUUUUCCCCAAGUUUGUUGUGAGUUAUAUCUCACAACCUCUGGGGAUGCCUGCCACACGUGUGGGUGAAACGUCAGGAGAGAAUACUCCCAGAACAAGGCCAUACAGCCCGGAAAACACACAACAACCCUUUGCCUUCUGGACCUGGUGUUUUCCCCAAGUUUGUUGUGAAUUAUACCUCACAACCUCUGAGGAUGAGUAAACUCCGAGUAAACUUUGGAACCUGAACUCAAGCAACUCUGCUUUUCGGGAAGUGCCGGAUCAUGUCUAAUAUUUAAUUCCAAAGCCAAUUCUGGCAAAAAAUCCCCCCAAAAGUAAAUUGAUAGCACGUAUUAAAAGCGAGGCAUAAUUGCACUAAACAAGUAAAUUAAUAGCGCGUACUAAAGGUGGGAUAUAAGUGCACUAGACAAGUAAACUAAUAGCACGUACUAAAAGUGGGGUUUAAUUGCACUAAACAAGUAAAUUAAUAGUGUGCACUAAAAGUGAGGUAUAAAGGCACUAAACAAGUAAAUUAAUAGCGUGUACUAAAAACAGGGUAUAAAGGCACUAAACAAGUAAAUUAAUAGCGCGUAGUAGAAGUGGGGUAUAAAUGCACCAAACAAGUAAAUUAAUAGCAGGGCAUAAAUGCACUAAACAAGUAAAUAAAUAGCGCGUACUAAAAGCAGGGUUUAAUUGCACUAAACAAGUAAAUAAAUAGCGCGUACUAAAAGCGGGGUUUAA